Molecule: ribosomal RNA, 1218 nt
Filed under: uncultured Rhizaria
Lineage: Eukaryota
Description: SSU rRNA
Rfam family: Eukaryotic small subunit ribosomal RNA
Source: RNAcentral
CGGUAAUUCCAGCUCCAAUAGCGUAUACUAAAGUUGUUGCAGUUAAAAAGCUCGUAGUUGGAUUUCUGCGGGGACGGAGCGGCCGGUCGCAACUUGCGACUCGAGCUAGCGCUUUCCCCGCAUCCUGCCGCGAACCGUGCUACCAUUAGUUUGGUGGCGCUGGGGAUCGGCUCGAUUACUUUGAGAAAAAUAGAGUGUUCAAAGCAGGCCACACGCCUUGAAUAAGUUAGCAUGGAAUAAUGACUAAGGACUUUGGUUCUUUUCGUUGGUGUUCGGGACUGAAGUAAUGAUUGAUAGGGACAGUUGGGGCGGUCCGUAUUCCAAAGCGAGAGGCGAAAUUCUUAGACCUUCGGAAGACGAACAGCUGCGAAAGCGUUCCGCAAGGAUGUUCCCUUUGAUCAAGAACGAAAGUUGGGGGAUCGAAGACGAUCAGAUACCGUCGUAGUCUCAACUAUAAACUAUACCAGCUAGGGAUCGGCCAACGUUUAAUUAUUCGACUUGGUCGGCACCUUAUGAGAAAUCAAAGCAUCUGGGUUCCGGGGGGAGUAUGGUCGCAAGGCUGAAACGUAAAGGAAUUGACGGAAGGGCACCACCAGCCGUGGAGCCUGUGGCUUGAUUUGACUCAACACGGGAAAACUUACCAGGUCCGGACAUAGUAAGGAUUGACAGAUUGAUAGCUCUUUCUUGAUUCUGUGGGUGGUGGUGCAUGGCCGUUUUUAGUCGGUGGAUGUGAUCUGUCUGCUUAAUUGCGUUAACGGACGAGACCCCAGCCUGCUAAAUAGCGCGGCCGAGCUUUGCUCGGUGCGAGCUUCUUAGAGGGACCAUGAUGCGCGAUAGCACAAGGAAGUUUGGGGCAACAACAGGUCUGUGAUGCCCUUAGAUGUUCUGGGCCGCACACGGGCUACACUGGCGCCUGCAACAAGCAUAUCAGCUGGCCCGAGAGGGUCUUGGCUAAUCUUUGGAACCGGCGCCGUGCUUGGGAUUGACCAUUGCAAUUGUUGGUCAUGCAACGAGGAAUGCCUUGUAAACGCGAGUCAUCAGCUCGCAUUGAAUACGUCCCUACCCUUUGUACACACCGCCCGUCGCUCCUACCGAUGAAUGUUCCGAUGAAAUUUUCGGAGAGCGCCGGAGAACGGGGCUCCGCCCUGCAGAACUGGAGGCUCAAAGUCACUUAAAUCUGAACAUUUCGAGGAAGGAGAAGUCGUAACAAGGUAGCCG